Molecule: small RNA, 122 nt
Filed under: Marmota monax (woodchuck)
Lineage: Eukaryota; Metazoa; Chordata; Mammalia; Rodentia; Sciuridae
Source: RNAcentral
GCCGGGCACAGUGGCGCAACUCUGUAAUCCCAGCUCGGGAGGCUGAGGCAGGAGGAUCGAGAGUUCAAAGCCAGCCUCGACAAAAGCGAGGCGCUAAGCAACUCAUUGAGAUCCUGUCUCUA